AUACGAAAUGUUUUACUUA
RNAcentral lists this small RNA (19 nucleotides) under Arabidopsis thaliana (thale cress). Its description in RNAcentral is "ATSL040260". The record is from RNAcentral. Lineage: Eukaryota; Viridiplantae; Streptophyta; Magnoliopsida; Brassicales; Brassicaceae.